CCUACGGGUGGCAGCAGUGGGGAAUAUUGGACAAUGGGCGAAAGCCUGAUCCAGCCAUGCCGCGUGUGUGAAGAAGGCCUUCGGGUUGUAAAGCACUUUCAGUGGGGAAGAAAGCCUUGGGGCUAAUACCCUCGAGGAAGGACAUCACCCACAGAAGAAGCACCGGCUAACUCCGUGCCAGCAGCCGCGGUAAUACGGAGGGUGCGAGCGUUAAUCGGAAUUACUGGGCGUAAAGCGCGCGUAGGCGGUCUGAUAAGCCGGUUGUGAAAGCCCCGGGCUCAACCUGGGAACGGCAUCCGGAACUGUCAGGCUAGAGUGCAGGAGAGGAAGGUAGAAUUCCCGGUGUAGCGGUGAAAUGCGUAGAGAUCGGGAGGAAUAUCAGUGGCGAAGGCGGCCUUCUGGACUGACACUGUCGCUGAGGUGCGAAAGCGUGGGUAGCAAACAGGAUUAGAUACCCCAGUAGUC
RNAcentral lists this ribosomal RNA (465 nucleotides) under Vreelandella stevensii. RNAcentral describes it as "partial 16S ribosomal RNA". It matches the Rfam family "Bacterial small subunit ribosomal RNA", at positions 338 to 795 of the family's 1533-position model. The record is from RNAcentral. Lineage: Bacteria; Pseudomonadati; Pseudomonadota; Gammaproteobacteria; Oceanospirillales; Halomonadaceae.